Molecule: ribosomal RNA, 210 nt
Filed under: uncultured Staphylococcus sp.
Lineage: Bacteria; Bacillati; Bacillota; Bacilli; Caryophanales; Staphylococcaceae
Description: partial 16S ribosomal RNA
Rfam family: Bacterial small subunit ribosomal RNA
Source: RNAcentral
GGAAACCGGAGCUAAUACCGGAUAAUAUUUCGAACCGCAUGGUUCGAUAGUGAAAGGCGGUUUUGCUAUCACUUAUAGAUGGACCCGCGCCGUAUUAGCUAGUUGGUAAGGUAACGGCUUACCAAGGCGACGAUACGUAGCCGACCUGAGAGGGUGAUCGGCCACACUGGAACUGAGACACGGUCCAGACUCCUACGGGAGGCAGCAGUA